RNAcentral lists this ribosomal RNA (484 nucleotides) under uncultured bacterium. Its description in RNAcentral is "partial 16S ribosomal RNA". It matches the Rfam family "Bacterial small subunit ribosomal RNA", at positions 899 to 1397 of the family's 1533-position model. The record is from RNAcentral.
ACUCAAAUGAAUUGACGGGGACCCGCACAAGCGGUGGAGCGUGUUCUUUAAUUCGAAGGUAAGCGAAGAACCUUACCAGGGUUUGACAUCCUCAGAAUUUCUCCGAAAGGAGAGAGUGCUUUAUUGAACUGAGUGACAGGUGUUGCAUGGCCGUCGUCAGCUCGUGUCGUGAGAUGUUUGGUUAAGUCCAUUAACGAGCGCAACCCUUAUGUUUAGUUGAAUUUUUCUAAACAGACUGCCCCGGCAACGGGGAGGAAGGAGGGGAUGAUGUCAGGUCAGUAUUACCCUUACAUCCUGGGCUAGAAACACGCUACAAUGGCCGGUACAAAGGGCUGCCAAGUCGCAAGACGGAGCAAAUCCCAUCAAAGCCGGUCCCAGUUCGGAUAAGAGGCUGAAACUCGCCUCUUUGAAGUCGGAAUCGCUAGUAACGGUAGGUCAGCACACUACCGUGAAUACGUUCCCGGGUCUUGUACACACCGCCCGU